Molecule: ribosomal RNA, 460 nt
Filed under: uncultured bacterium
Lineage: Bacteria
Description: partial 16S ribosomal RNA
Rfam family: Bacterial small subunit ribosomal RNA
Source: RNAcentral
CCUACGGGAGGCAGCAGUGAGGAAUAUUGGUCAAUGGACGAGAGUCUGAACCAGCCAAGUAGCGUGAAGGAUGACUGCCCUAUGGGUUGUAAACUUCUUUUAUAAAGGAAUAAAACGAGGCACGUGUGCCUUUUUGCAUGUACUUUAUGAAUAAGGAUCGGCUAACUCCGUGCCAGCAGCCGCGGUAAUACGGAGGAUCCGAGCGUUAUCCGGAUUUAUUGGGUUUAAAGGGAGCGUAGAUGGGUUGUUAAGUCAGUUGUGAAAGUUUGCGGCUCAACCGUAAAAUUGCAAUUGAUACUGGCAGUCUUGAGUACAGUUGAGGUAAGCGGAAUUCGUGGUGUAGCGGUGAAAUGCUUAGAUAUCACGAAGAACCCCGAUUGCGAAGGCAGCUUACUAAACUGUGACUGACAUUGAUGCUCGAAAGUGUGGGUAGCAAACAGGAUUAGAUACCCUAGUAGUC